Molecule: ribosomal RNA, 253 nt
Filed under: uncultured bacterium
Lineage: Bacteria
Description: partial 16S ribosomal RNA
Rfam family: Bacterial small subunit ribosomal RNA
Source: RNAcentral
UACGUAGGGUGCGAGCGUUGUCCGGAAUUAUUGGGCGUAAAGAGCUUGUAGGCGGUUUGUCGCGUCUGCCGUGAAAUUUCGAGGCUCAACCUCGAACUUGCGGUGGGUACGGGCAGACUAGAGGUAUGCAGGGGAGAACGAAUUCCUGGUGUAGCGGUGAAAUGCGCAGAUAUCAGGAGGAACACCGGUGGCGAAGGCGGUUCUCUGGGCAUUACCUGACGCUGGAGGAGCGAAAGUGUGGGGAGCGAACAGG